UGGGGAAUUUUCCGCAAUGGGCGAAAGCCUGACGGAGCAAUGCCGCGUGGAGGUAUAAUUCCUACUUUUCUUUAACUUCUUUUCCCUUAUAAUAAUCCCUUACUUUCUCUUUUUCCUCCUCCUCUUCUCCCUCUUUUCCCUCCUCCUCUUUCCUCCCUCUUCUUCCCUCUUUAUCCUUAAUUAUUUUUCUUAAAUCUGCUGUAGGUGGCUUUUUAAGUCCGCCGUCAAAUCCCAGGGCUCAACCCUGGACAGGCGGUGGAAACUACCAAGCUGGAGUACGGUAGGGGCAGAGGGAAUUUCCGGUGGAGCGGUGAAAUGAGUAGAGAUAGGAAAGAAAAAAAAAGGAGAAAGAAAUAUGAUGGGAAGAAAAUGAAAAUGAGAGACGAAAGCUAGGGGAGCGAAUG
RNAcentral lists this ribosomal RNA (404 nucleotides) under uncultured bacterium. RNAcentral's name for it is "bacterial SSU rRNA". It matches the Rfam family "Bacterial small subunit ribosomal RNA", at positions 355 to 774 of the family's 1533-position model. The record is from RNAcentral.